AACGAACGCUGGCGGCAUGCCUAACACAUGCAAGUCGAACGAAGCCUUCGGGCUUAGUGGCGCACGGGUGCGUAACGCGUGGGAAUCUGCCCCUUGCUUCGGAAUAACAGUUAGAAAUGACUGCUAAUACCGGAUGAAGUCUUCUGACCAAAGAUUUAUCGGCCAGGGAUGAGCCCGCGUAGGAUUAGGUAGUUGGUGGGGUAAAGGCCUACCAAGCCGACGAUCCUUAGCUGGUCUGAGAGAAUGAUCAGCCACACUGGGACUGAGACACGGCCCAGACUCCUACGGGAGGCAGCAGUGGGGAAUAUUGGACAAUGGACGCAGGUCUGAACCAGCAAUGCCGCGUGAGUGAUGAAGGCCUUAGGGUUGUAAAGCUCUUUUACCAGGGAUGAUAAUGACAGUACCUGGAGAAUAAGCUCCGGCUAACUCCGUG
RNAcentral lists this ribosomal RNA (433 nucleotides) under uncultured bacterium. Its description in RNAcentral is "partial 16S ribosomal RNA". It matches the Rfam family "Bacterial small subunit ribosomal RNA", at positions 29 to 507 of the family's 1533-position model. The record is from RNAcentral.